This 427-nucleotide small RNA is filed under the name uncultured Glomus. RNAcentral describes it as "SSU rRNA". It matches the Rfam family "Eukaryotic small subunit ribosomal RNA", at positions 569 to 1004 of the family's 1831-position model. Lineage: Eukaryota; Fungi; Glomeromycota; Glomeromycetes; Glomerales; Glomeraceae. The record is from RNAcentral.
AGCAGCCGCGGUAAUUCCAGCUCCAAUAGCGUAUAUUAAAGUUGUUGCAGUUAAAAAGCUCGUAGUUGAAUUUCGGGAUUAAUUUACUGGUCGUGCUAUUGUACGUACUGGUUUUAUUGAUUCCUCCCUUCUGACGAACUAUGAUGUCAUUAAUUUGGUGUCUUAGGGAAUCAGGACUGUUACUUUGAAAAAUUGAGUGUUUAAAGCAGGCUCACGCUUGAAUACAUUAGCAUGGAAUAACGGAAUAGGACGUUUGAUUCUAUUUUGUUGGUUUCUAGGAUCGACGUAAUGAUUAAUAGGGAUGGUUGGGGGCAUUAGUAUUCAAUUGUCAGAGGUGAAAUUCUUGGAUUUAUUGAAGACUAACUACUGCGAAAGCAUUUGCCAAGGAUGUUUCAUUAAUCAAGAACGAAAGUUAGGGGAUCGAAGA